Molecule: long non-coding RNA, 263 nt
Filed under: Elaeis guineensis (African oil palm)
Lineage: Eukaryota; Viridiplantae; Streptophyta; Magnoliopsida; Arecales; Arecaceae
Description: long non-coding RNA (EGUI_LNC023122)
Source: RNAcentral
AGACCACCAUGAUGACUUGUAAGCAACUCAAUGUACUUUAGUAUCGGAUCAUCUGAAUUUCUAAUUCAGUGAUGAAAGGAUACUGGGUGCAGUCAAGUACUUAUCAAGUCGGUGUGUGAGUCAAGAUGGAAUUGAUCCCUCUGAAUUAGUAGGAGAUGUGCAUUAGUGUAUUUCAAUUUAGUACAACCUUGGAUAAGAUAAUCCAUGAGAUGAAUUUGAAAAGUUAAAAUACACUGUGAUUGACUAAAUUAGGGUUGACAGUU